UGAUCUGCUUUUGUCUAACUUGUGAACUAAAACUUAAGUACAAAACAAUAGAUGCUCUUCUCCAACCCAGAACUCAUUGUUCAGUACAAGUUGUGAAGCAUGUAGGAGGAACUUA
RNAcentral lists this small nucleolar RNA (115 nucleotides) under Fukomys damarensis (Damara mole-rat). RNAcentral's name for it is "Small nucleolar RNA SNORA40". It matches the Rfam family "Small nucleolar RNA SNORA40". From Rfam's summary of the family: The snoRNA ACA 40 belongs to the H/ACA family of snoRNAs and guides the pseudouridylation of 28S rRNA subunit at position U4565. NB This family has a high threshold value to exclude a large number of closely related sequences that do not appear to have conserved H and ACA boxes, and may be pseudogenes. The record is from Rfam by way of RNAcentral. Lineage: Eukaryota; Metazoa; Chordata; Mammalia; Rodentia; Bathyergidae.